Acipenser ruthenus (sterlet) is the source of this 499-nucleotide long non-coding RNA. RefSeq lists it as uncharacterized. The transcript has 3 exons. The record is from RefSeq and is a predicted model, not a curated record. Lineage: Eukaryota; Metazoa; Chordata; Actinopteri; Acipenseriformes; Acipenseridae.
AGAGGGGGUGUUCCCUCCAGAGGUUGUUACCCUCAACAGUACAGCUGUUCGUGUCAUCUGGACAUCUCCAUCUAACCCAAAUGGUGUGGUCACGGAAUAUUUGGUGUAUGUGAAUGACAGGCAACACAAGACUGGCAUGAGCUCAUCUGGAUCUUUUGUAUUAGGAGGCCUCUUGCCAUUUACUAUAUACAACAUACAGGUUGAAGUUUGCACUGUGUAUGCAUGUGUGAAAAGCAAUGGGACUCAAAUAACUACAGUAGAGGAUGAACCCAGUGAUAUGGUGGCACCAAAUGUACAUGUGAUUAGUUCAAGGUCUCUCAGAGUUGAUUGGGCAUCACCAGGCCGCCCAAACGGCAUCAUGCUCGGAUAUGAUGUGAGGCGCAGAACAUUACGCUGGUGUGCACAGGCCCAGCUGCUGCAGGAGAUGCAGACAGGGAGGCAAUGCUUAUAUGUGCAAUGUGGAAUAAAUGAAAACAUAUGUGGGGGCUUUUGCUAUCAA